GACGAACGCUGGCGGCGUGCUUAACACAUGCAAGUCGAACGGAAAGGCCCUGCUUUUGUGGGGUGCUCGAGUGGCGAACGGGUGAGUAACACGUGAGUAACCUGCCCUUGACUUUGGGAUAACUUCAGGAAACUGGGGCUAAUACCGGAUAGGAGCUCCUGCUGCAUGGUGGGGGUUGGAAAGUUUCGGCGGUUGGGGAUGGACUCGCGGCUUAUCAGCUUGUUGGUGGGGUAGUGGCUUGCCAAGGCUUUGACGGGUAGCCGGCCUGAGAGGGUGACCAGCCACAUUGGGACUGAGAUACGGCCCAGACUCCUACGGGAGGCAGCAGUGGGGAAUAUUGCACAAUGGGCGGAAGCCUGAUGCAGCAACGCCGCGUGCGGGAUGACGGCCUUCGGGUUGUAAACCGCUUUCGCCUGUGACGAAGCGUGAGUGACGGUAAUGGGUAAAGAAGCACCGGCUAACUACGUG
This 468-nucleotide ribosomal RNA is filed under the name uncultured bacterium. RNAcentral describes it as "partial 16S ribosomal RNA". It matches the Rfam family "Bacterial small subunit ribosomal RNA", at positions 28 to 507 of the family's 1533-position model. The record is from RNAcentral.